AAUUAAAUUUAAAAAAAUAAAAAAAAUAAAAAUAAAAACCACCCACGGUCUGAAUAAAAUUUAAGGAAAUGUGUUGGGUUUUUAAUAAUUAUUUUUUUUAGUUAUACGGCAAUAAUUGCGUGCUCCGCAGAGAGGGGAGAGACAGAGAGCAGCCACUGGGGCCAUUUGUUACAUGAUUUCUCCUUUUUUUUUUUUUAAGUCCCCGGAGCUCUGGAAUUUUUCCCCUCUUCCUCCUCAACCACAGUCCCGAAUUUUGCAGAUAUUGACGCCUGCCUGUGUCUAAACUACGGCUAACCUUGUUAACCCACUCCCCUGUGUGACCCGUGGGAGGAGGGCUUUCAGUAUUUUGAUGUUUUAAGUGUUUAAUGCCAAGCCCUUUUUUUUUAUUUAUUUCUCUUUUUUUAUUUUUUUUAUUUUUUUUUUUGAGUCAAAUGCACCCAACAUCUAUGUCCCAGUCGUGUUGGCAGGCAAAUGUCGGGAACAAGCAGGGCCACGAAAAGCCCGACCAAAAUUCGGGCAGGGAAGUUGUGCCAGGCGUAGACCACCAGCAUCUGUUUAUCAUUGUUGGAGCUGCAAGGGGAAAAAAACAUCCUCUGGAUUCUGAGCUGCCGGAGCGAAGGGAAUGGCCUGCCUCCCAAGCCACCAUUAACAUUCAGCGGAGCACAGAGGGGAGCGAGGACGCUGCGGGGAAUGCCACCCCCGCCUUGGGAGGAACCAACAAAACCCGAUGGCAAAAGCUAGCUUAG
RNAcentral lists this long non-coding RNA (746 nucleotides) under Parus major (Great Tit). RNAcentral describes it as "lncRNA (ENSPMJG00000014293.1)". The record is from RNAcentral. Lineage: Eukaryota; Metazoa; Chordata; Aves; Passeriformes; Paridae.